Cyprinus carpio carpio is the source of this 1929-nucleotide long non-coding RNA. The record is from Ensembl. NCBI's taxonomy places the organism in Eukaryota, Metazoa, Chordata, Actinopteri, Cypriniformes, Cyprinidae.
AUGUGGGAGACUGCUCUUCAGGAGUUGGCGGAAACAGCGCCACUCCUUCCCCGGAGGAGGGCCGGGUGGAGAAUCUUCAGUUUACGUUUCUUUCUGUUCCGCCGCUGGUCCAACGGCCGGCGGCACCCACUUUUUUUCAAUAAAAGAGCAAUUUCCCUUUCCUCCGAGUUGCAAGGCUCGUGGGUUGACGAUGAGCGACGCACUGCCUCCUCAUUCUCACCCACGACGCCCCCUUCGCCAGCGGUCAAGAGGUCGCGGUUCGGAGACGCAACGCCUCUCCACGCGUCUCUGGCCAGUUCCUCCGGGAACACGGGGAGUGUGGCUGUGAUGACUCGGAACGCGAUGCUUUCUGGGCCAUCCGACACAGCUCCCCAUCGCUGCACCACUGCGGGUAUGUCGACUGUCCCUUUGGUUCCACUUGUACGGAGUUUGGGAGCGUGGCUUGCGCUGCCCAACCCGUCACGCUGGCUCAUUCGGACGGUCCGACUCGGUUACGCGAUUCAGUUCGCCCGGCGACCUCCCAAGUUCAAUGGCGUGCUCGAGACUUCGGUGGCAGUCCGGGACGCCUCUGUCUUGCGCGAGGAGAUUGCUGUCCUCCUGGCGAAGGAUGCAAUCGAGCCGGUCCCUCCAGCCGAGAUGAGGACGGGGUUUUACAGCCCUUACUGCAUCGUACCCAAGAAAAAGCGGUGGCCUUCGACCUAUCCUGGAUCUGCGAGUCUUGAAUCGGGCCCUGCACAAGCUCCCGUUCAAGAUGUUGACGCAGAAACGCAUUAUCAAAUGCGUUCAGCCCCAGGACUGGUUUGCAGCGAUCGACCUGAAAAGACGCGUACUUUCAUGUCUCGAUCCUCCCUCGUCACAGACCGUUUCUGCGGUUUGCAUUCGAGGGUCAGGCAUGGCAGUACAAGGUCCUCCCCUUCGGGCUCUCCCUGUCUCCCCGUGUCUUCACGAAGGUCGCGGAGGGCGCCCCUUGCCCCACUUUGGGAAGUGGGCGUCAGGAUCCUCAACUAUCUCGACGACUGGCUCAUUAUGGCCCGGUCCCGAGAGGAGUUGUGCGAUCACAGGGACUUCGUGCUCCGGCACCUCAGUCAGUUGGGGCUUCAGGUCAACCGAGAGAAGAGCAAGCUCUCCCCUGCGCAGAGAAUCUCUUAUCUCGGUAUGGAGUUAGACUCGGUGAGUAUGACGGCACGUCUCACCAGCGAGCGUGCCCAGUCAGUGCUGAACUGCCUGAGUUCCUUCAGAGGCAGGACAGUGGUACCACUGAAACACUUUCAGAGGCUCCUGGGGCAUAUGGCAUCCGCAGCCGCAGUCACGCCGCUCGGGUUGCUUCAUAUGAGGCCACUUCAGCACUGGUUGCACUCCCGAGUCCCGAGAUGGGCAUGGCGCCGCGGUACACAUCGUGUCACCAUCACACCGAUGUGUCGCCGCCAAUUCAGCCCCUGGUCAGACCUUGCCUUUCUACGGGCCGGCGUGCCCUUAGAACAAGUGUCCCGGCAUGUUGUUGUCACAACAGAUGCCUCCAAAACGGGCUGGGGCGCGACAUGCAACGGGCAGGCAGCUUCAGGGUCCUGGACAGGACCUCGACUGCUUUGGCACAUCAACUGUCUGGAGUUGCUGGCAGUGCAUCUAGCUUUACGGCGGUUUCGGCCGCUGUUGCUGGACAAGCACGUGUUGGUCCGCACGGACAACACUGCGGCUGUUUCGUACAUCAACCGACAGGGCGGUCUACGAUCACGUCGCAUGUCUCAACUCGCCCGCCAUCUCCUCCUCUGGAGUCAGACGCGGCUCAAGUCGCUGCGCGCUAUCCACAUCCCAGGGGAGCUCAAUCGUGCAGCCGAUGCGCUCUCACGACAGCUCACUUUCCCUGGGGAAUGGCGACUCCAUCCCCAGACGGUCCAGCUGAUCUGGAGUCGAUUCGGGAAGCCCAGGUAG